GCGCCCCGCAAGGGGAGCGGCAGACGGGUGAGUAACGCGUGGGAAUCUACCCAUCUCUACGGAAUAACGCAUGGAAACGUGUGCUAAUACCGUAUACGUCCUUCGGGAGAAAGAUUUAUCGGAGAUGGAUGAGCCCGCGUUGGAUUAGCUAGUUGGUGGGGUAAAGGCCUACCAAGGCGACGAUCCAUAGCUGGUCUGAGAGGAUGAUCAGCCACACUGGGACUGAGACACGGCCCAGACUCCUACGGGAGGCAGCAGUGAGGAAUAUUGGACAAUGGGCGCAAGCCUGAUCCAGCCAUGCCGCGUGAGUGAUGAAGGCCCUAGGGUUGUAAAGCUCUUUCACCGGUGAAGAUAAUGACGGUAACCGGAGAAGAAGCCCCGGCUAACUUCGUGCCAGCAGCCGCGGUAAUACGAAGGGGGCUAGCGUUGUUCGGAUUUACUGGGCGUAAAGCGCACGUAGGCGGACUAUUAAGUCAGGGGUGAAAUCCCGGGGCUCAACCCCGGAACUGCCUUUGAUACUGGUAGUCUUGAGUUCGAGAGAGGUGAGUGGAAUUCCGAGUGUAGAGGUGAAAUUCGUAGAUAUUC
This 585-nucleotide ribosomal RNA is filed under the name uncultured Phyllobacterium sp. RNAcentral describes it as "bacterial SSU rRNA". It matches the Rfam family "Bacterial small subunit ribosomal RNA", at positions 66 to 699 of the family's 1533-position model. Lineage: Bacteria; Pseudomonadati; Pseudomonadota; Alphaproteobacteria; Hyphomicrobiales; Phyllobacteriaceae. The record is from RNAcentral.